Long non-coding RNA from Oncorhynchus tshawytscha (Chinook salmon), 2573 nucleotides. Lineage: Eukaryota; Metazoa; Chordata; Actinopteri; Salmoniformes; Salmonidae. The record is from Ensembl.
CUGGAAUACCAACACUUUAGAAUGCAGAAGUACUUUACACACAGGCCCAGGCUUGUGUCCAAUAUGGCCCCUUAUUCACUAUAUAGUGCACUACUUUACACACAGGCCCAGGCUUGUGUCCAAUAUGGCCCCUUAUUCACUAUAUAGUGCACUACUUUACACACAGGGCCAGGCUUGUGUCCAAUAUGGCCCCUUAUUCACUAUAUAGUGCACUACUUUACACACAGGGCCAGGCUUGUGUCCAAUAUGGCCCCUUAUUCACUAUAUAGUGCACUACUUUACACACAGGCCCAGGCUUGUGUCCAAUAUGGCCCCUUAUUCACUAUAUAGUGCACUACUUCACACACAGGCCCAGGCUUGUGCCCAACCAAACUCACAUAGAGGCUGUAUCCAAUAUGGCCCCUUAUUCACCAUGUAGUGCACUACUUUAGACCAGAGCCCUAUUCCCUAUAUAGGGCACUACUUUAGACCAGAGCCCUAUUCCAUAUAUAGUGCACUACUUUAGACCAGAGCCCUAUUCCCUAUAUAGUGCACUACUUUAGACCAGAGCCUUAUUCCAUAUAUAGUGCACUACUUUAGACCAGAGCCCUAUUCCCUAGAUAGUGCACUACCUUUAACUACAGCAUUAUUCCAUAUAUAGUGCACUACUUUAGACCAGAGCCCUAUUCCCUAUAUAGUGCACAACAUUAUACUACAGCCCUAUUCCCUAUAUAGUGCACUACUUUAUACUACAGCCCUAUUCCCUAUAUAGUGCACUACUUUUAACCAGAGCCCUGAAUAGACCAGACACCUAAUCAUCUAUAUACAUCUUAAUCUAGCAUUGUGUUUCUCCUAUUAAUCACCCUGUGAAUGACUCUCUAUGGGUCCAGGUUAACACACUAUAAAGGGGAACAGAAUGACUCUCUAUGGGUCCAGGUUAACACACUAUAAAGGGGAACAGAAUGACUCUCUAUGGGUCCAGGUUAACACUCUAUAAAGGGGAACAGAAUGACUCUCUAUGGGUCCAGGUUAACACUCUAUAAAGGGAACAGAAUGACUCUCUAUGGGUCCAGGUUAACACACUAUAAAGGGGAACAGAAUGACUCUCUAUGGGUCCAGGUUAACACUCUAUAAAGGGGAAUAGAAUUACUCUCUAUGGGUCCAGGUUAACACACUAUAAAGGGAACAGAAUGACUCUAUGGGUCCAGGUUAACACUCUAUAAAGGGAACAGAAUGACUCUAUGGGUCCAGGUUAACACUCUAUAAGGGGAACAGAAUGACUCUCUAUGGGUCCAGGUUAACACAUUAUAAAGUGAAUAAGAGUCCAUUUGGAACACAGCUACAGUAGUAAUAACAAAGGUAUUUUUUGAUCAAAAUCCCUGUAAAUAUCUGCGGUAUCCUUGCCAACCCAUUUCAAUCUGCAGGUUGGUUUUUUUCUUUUCAAAAUCACAACGUGACAGUAAACCAGUCUUUAAAGAAAAAAGAGAUCUGAAACCAUGCAACACUCAACAAGCCCACGUUACAGUUACUUCUGGGUUCGCCACCGUUUUGAAUGGCAUCAUCAAUAUCAUCAUCAUCAUCAUCAUCAUCAUCAUCAUCAAUAUCAUCAUCAUCAUCAUCAAUAUCAUGAUCAUCGUCAUCAAUAUCAUGAUCAUCAUCAUCAAUAUCAUCAUCAUCAAUAUCAUGAUCAUCAUCAUCAAUAUUAUCAUCAUCAAUAUCAUGAUCAUCAUCAAUAUCAUCAUCAUCAUCAUCAAUAUCAUGAUCAUUAUCAAUAUCAUGAUCAUCAUCAACAAUAUCAUGAUCAUCAUCAAUAUCAUCAUCAUCAAUAUCAUGAUCAUCAUCAAUAUCAUGAUCAUCAUCAUCAUCAUCAAUAUCAUCAUCAUCAUCAUCAAUAUCAUCAUCAUCAAUAUCAUGAUCAUCAUCAAUAUCAUGAUCAUCAUCAUCAUCAUCAAUAUCAUCAUCAUCAUCAUCAAUAUCAUCAUCAUCAACACUUACAACACCAUAAGACUUCACACAACAGUGACAAGGACGUUUUGACGUUUUUUUUUUUGGGGGAGACAGAAUCGAUCAAAUCUCGAAGACCUCAUCCACUGAGUUUCCAUGACAGGACAAAACGGGUCACGUCGUAGAUAGAACGGGGUUCUCUUCUGUUUCAUUAGUUCGUUACCCGAGUCCAUCGCUGCCUUUAGGCCUCAUGCUUGGUGUUAAAGGGGGACAGUGACCCCGAGCAACAGAUAUACACUACACUUCAGCAAACUAACCACUGGCACCAAACACUAACCUGCUGCUCCCAGAUCAGUGUCUAACCUCCGUGUUGGCACCAAACACUAACCUGCAGCUCCCAGAUCAGUGUCUAACCUCCGUGUUGGCACCAAACACUAACCUGCUGCUCCCAGAUCAGUGUCUAACCUCCGUGUUGGCACCAAACACUAACCUGCAGCUCCCAGAUCAGUGUCUAACCUGCUGCUCCCAGAUCAGUGUCUAACCUGCUGCUCCCAGAUCAGUGUCUAACCUGCUGCUCCCAGAUCAGUGUCUAACCUGCUGCUCCCAGAUCAGUGUCUAACCUGCUGCUCCCAGAUCAGUGUCUAACCUCC